Molecule: small nuclear RNA, 164 nt
Filed under: Lynx canadensis (Canada lynx)
Lineage: Eukaryota; Metazoa; Chordata; Mammalia; Carnivora; Felidae
Description: U1 spliceosomal RNA (ENSLCNG00005007197.1)
Rfam family: U1 spliceosomal RNA
About the family: U1 is a small nuclear RNA (snRNA) component of the spliceosome (involved in pre-mRNA splicing). Its 5' end forms complementary base pairs with the 5' splice junction, thus defining the 5' donor site of an intron.
Source: Rfam by way of RNAcentral
AUACUUACCUGGCAGGGGAGAUACCAUGAUCAGAAAGGUGGUUUUCCCAGGGCGAGGCUUAUCCAUUGCACUCGGGAUGUGCUGACCCCUGCGAUUUCCCCAAAUGUGGGAAACUCGACUGCAUAAUUUGUGGUAGUGGGGGACUGCGUUCGCGCUCUCCCCUG